GAUGAACGCUAGCUACAGGCUUAACACAUGCAAGUCGAGGGGUAACGAGAGGGAAGCUUGCUUUCCUUGUCGACGACCGGCGCGCGGGUGAGUAACGCGUAUCCAACCUGCCCCCAACUAAGGAAUAACCUUGCGAAAGUAAGACUAAUACCCUAUAAUUUCCUCAGAUGUCAUCUGACGAGGAAUAAAGAUUUAUCGGUUGUGGAUGGGGAUGCGUCUGAUUAGCUUGUUGGCGGGGUAACGGCCCACCAAGGCAACGAUCAGUAGGGGUUCUGAGAGGAAGGUCCCCCACAUGGGAACUGAGACAAGGUCCAAACUCCUACGGGAGGCAGCAGUGAGGAAUAUUGGUCAAUGGGCGGAAGCCUGAACCAGCCAAGUAGCGUGCAGGAUGACGGCCCUAUGGGUUGUAAACUGCUUUUAUACAGGAAUAAAGUUAGCCACGUGUGGUUAUUUGUAGGUACUGUAUGAAUAAGGACCGGCUAAUUCCGUGCCAGCAGCCGCGGUAA
RNAcentral lists this ribosomal RNA (506 nucleotides) under uncultured bacterium. RNAcentral describes it as "partial 16S ribosomal RNA". It matches the Rfam family "Bacterial small subunit ribosomal RNA", at positions 28 to 523 of the family's 1533-position model. The record is from RNAcentral.